UGGACGCAUCACUGGUGUUCGGGUUGUCAUGCCAAUGGCACUGCCCGGUAGCUAAAUGCGGAAGAGAUAAGUGCUGAAAGCAUCUAAGCACGAAACUUGCCCCGAGAUGAGUUCUCCCUGACUCCUUGAGAGUCCUGAAGGAACGUUGAAGACGACGACGUUGAUAGGCCGGGUGUGUAAGCGCAGCGAUGCGUUGAGCUAACCGGUACUAAUGAACCGUGAGGCUUAACCUUACAACGCCGAAG
This 245-nucleotide ribosomal RNA is filed under the name Escherichia coli. Its description in RNAcentral is "partial 23S ribosomal RNA". It matches the Rfam family "Bacterial large subunit ribosomal RNA", at positions 2698 to 2925 of the family's 2925-position model. Lineage: Bacteria; Pseudomonadati; Pseudomonadota; Gammaproteobacteria; Enterobacterales; Enterobacteriaceae. The record is from RNAcentral.